RNAcentral lists this ribosomal RNA (497 nucleotides) under uncultured bacterium. Its description in RNAcentral is "partial 16S ribosomal RNA". It matches the Rfam family "Bacterial small subunit ribosomal RNA", at positions 28 to 507 of the family's 1533-position model. The record is from RNAcentral.
GAUGAACGCUGGCGGCGUGCCUAAUACAUGCAAGUCGAGCGAACAGACGAGGAGCUUGCUCCUCUGACGUUAGCGGCGGACGGGUGAGUAACACGUGGAUAACCUACCUAUAAGACUGGGAUAACUUCGGGAAACCGGAGCUAAUACCGGAUAAUAUAUUGAACCGCAUGGUUCAAUAGUGAAAGACGGUUUUGCUGUCACUCAUAGAUGGAUCCGCGCCGCAUUAGCUAGUUGGUAAGGUAACGGCUUACCAAGGCAACGAUGCGUGGCCGACCUGAGAGGGUGAUCGGCCACACUGGAACUGAGACACGGUCCAGACUCCUACGGGAGGCAGCAGUAGGGAAUCUUCCGCAAUGGGCGAAAGCCUGACGGAGCAACGCCGCGUGAGUGAUGAAGGUCUUCGGAUCGUAAAACUCUGUUAUUAGGGAAGAACAAAUGUGUAAGUAACUAUGCACGUCUUGACGGUACCUAAUCAGAAAGCCACGGCUAACUACGUG